UACUAAUCUCUAAGAUCAAAAUGAUACCAUCUUCUAUUGUUCUACUCAUUUUAUUUGUAAAUAAAGAAGUAGAAAUUCUAGUAGAGUACAAAGAUAUUUCAAGACAAUGCAAUGAUUGUUUAGAAUUAGAACAUGAAACCACAACAUGCAUCUAUUUGUCUUACACUUAUCCACAUAAACCAAAAAAGAAAUUUAAAAUCUAUUGUUUAUCACAAGACAUAACAAA
Molecule: long non-coding RNA, 226 nt
Filed under: Physcomitrium patens
Lineage: Eukaryota; Viridiplantae; Streptophyta; Bryopsida; Funariales; Funariaceae
Description: long non-coding RNA (PPAT_LNC011256)
Source: RNAcentral